RNAcentral lists this ribosomal RNA (756 nucleotides) under Citrobacter koseri. Its description in RNAcentral is "partial 23S ribosomal RNA". It matches the Rfam family "Bacterial large subunit ribosomal RNA", at positions 2187 to 2925 of the family's 2925-position model. The record is from RNAcentral. Lineage: Bacteria; Pseudomonadati; Pseudomonadota; Gammaproteobacteria; Enterobacterales; Enterobacteriaceae.
CGCCCUUGAAAUACCACCCUUUAAUGGCUGGUGUUCUAACGUGGGCCCGUAAUCCGGGUUGCGGACAGUGUCUGGUGGGUAGUUUGACUGGGGCGGUCUCCUCCUAAAGAGUAACGGAGGAGCACGAAGGUCAGCUAAUCCUGGUCGGACAUCAGGAGGUUAGUGCAAUGGCAUAAGCUGGCUUGACUGCGAGCGUGACGGCGCGAGCAGGUGCGAAAGCAGGUCAUAGUGAUCCGGUGGUUCUGAAUGGAAGGGCCAUCGCUCAACGGAUAAAAGGUACUCCGGGGAUAACAGGCUGAUACCGCCCAAGAGUUCAUAUCGACGGCGGUGUUUGGCACCUCGAUGUCGGCUCAUCACAUCCUGGGGCUGAAGUAGGUCCCAAGGGUAUGGCUGUUCGCCAUUUAAAGUGGUACGCGAGCUGGGUUUAGAACGUCGUGAGACAGUUCGGUCCCUAUCUGCCGUGGGCGCUGGAGAACUGAGGGGGGCUGCUCCUAGUACGAGAGGACCGGAGUGGACGCAUCACUGGUGUUCGGGUUGUCAUGCCAAUGGCACUGCCCGGUAGCUAAAUGCGGAAGAGAUAAGUGCUGAAAGCAUCUAAGCACGAAACUUGCCCCGAGAUGAGUUCUCCCUGACUCCUUGAGAGUCCUGAAGGAACGUUGAAGACGACGACGUUGAUAGGCCGGGUGUGUAAGCGCAGCGAUGCGUUGAGCUAACCGGUACUAAUGAACCGUGAGGCUUAACCUUACAACGCCGAAG